GGGAGUGCUCGCAAGAGAACCGGAACACAGGUGCUGCAUGGCUGUCGUCAGCUCGUGUCGUGAGAUGUUGGGUUAAGUCCCGCAACGAGCGCAACCCUUGUCAUUAGUUGCCACCAUUCAGUUGGGCACUCUAAUGAGACUGCCGGUGACAAACCGGAGGAAGGUGGGGAUGACGUCAAGUCCUCAUGGCCCUUAUGGGUAGGGCUUCACACGUCAUACAAUGGUCGGUACAGAGGGUCGCCAACCCGCGAGGGGGAGCCAAUCCCACAAAGCCGAUCGUAGUCCGGAUUGGAGUCUGCAACUCGACUCCAUGAAGUCGGAAUCGCUAGUAAUCGUGGAUCUAGCAUCGUCACGUGAAUACGUCCGGUCU
RNAcentral lists this ribosomal RNA (370 nucleotides) under uncultured Rhodocyclaceae bacterium. RNAcentral's name for it is "bacterial SSU rRNA". It matches the Rfam family "Bacterial small subunit ribosomal RNA", at positions 1010 to 1373 of the family's 1533-position model. Lineage: Bacteria; Pseudomonadati; Pseudomonadota; Betaproteobacteria; Rhodocyclales; Rhodocyclaceae. The record is from RNAcentral.